UGAGUCGUUCUCAAUGUGUCAGUGACUUAUCUCGUUUGGGCAGUUACUUAUAAAACUGACCUGUUUGUGGACCAACAGUAUCCGCCCGCUCGUAUGACCCUUUCCCAGUAACUGUUGACUCUUAGACAUGCAUUUAAUCAUAGCUUCCACCCUUGCUGUUAACUUUAGCAGUUGUGGCUGUUGAGGGGAAUAAGUGUGAAACCGGAUGGGCGGCGUUCAAAGAGGAUUGCAUCUACUUUGGUCAUGAUCGUACUUCAUGGGACGACGCCGAGAAAAGAUGCAGAGAUAGAGGUGCAUGGCUUCUCUCAGAUGACAGUGAAGAUAAACACGAAUUCCUUUCCGACAUCCUAAACGUUCUAACCAAUUGGCGCUAUGAACGAUUUUUUAUCGGAGGGUCGGACUACUAUUUCGAGGGGCAAUUUCGUUGGGUUGAGACUGGAAUGAAUGUAGGCCCAUUUACAAGAUGGGCGACAGGCCAGCCUCAUAUGAACAACACCCGAAACUGUCUGAUGCUGGAUUGGGAGAACGACCAGCUUGUCUGGUCUGACCAGGCGUGUAGACCCCGAGAGUACACGUACUAUCUCUGUGAAAAACUUGCUAACACCACAACUGGACCAGGUAUCAUUGGAUAAGCUUGGACUACCGAGAAUGAUUUAUUGUAUGCUUUGUGAAUAAAAGAAAUGUGGAAAUUGUA
Molecule: long non-coding RNA, 694 nt
Organism: Pecten maximus
Lineage: Eukaryota; Metazoa; Mollusca; Bivalvia; Pectinida; Pectinidae
Exons: 5
Source: RefSeq, a predicted model, not a curated record